RNAcentral lists this ribosomal RNA (211 nucleotides) under uncultured bacterium. RNAcentral's name for it is "partial 16S ribosomal RNA". It matches the Rfam family "Bacterial small subunit ribosomal RNA", at positions 1290 to 1500 of the family's 1533-position model. The record is from RNAcentral.
AGUUCGGACUGUAGUCUGCAACCCGACUACACGAAGCUGGAAUCGCUAGUAAUCGCGAAUCAGAAUGUCGCGGUGAAUACGUUCCCGGGUCUUGUACACACCGCCCGUCACACCAUGGGAGUUGGUAAUGCCCGAAGUCAGUGACCCAACCGCAAGGAGGGAGCUGCCGAAGGCAGGACUGAUAACUGGGGUGAAGUCGUAACAAGGUAAC